This 345-nucleotide long non-coding RNA is filed under the name Mytilus galloprovincialis (Mediterranean mussel). The record is from RNAcentral. Lineage: Eukaryota; Metazoa; Mollusca; Bivalvia; Mytilida; Mytilidae.
CUGGGGUAUAGAAAUAUGGUCACUUGGUCUUCUCCUGACCGGCAGUAAAACGCUUGCCGAAGUGGGGCGUCCGUUUGGCUGUGCGGGAUGUAUCAAGUUCGCAAUCACGUCCUGUCAGAAGGGGGACGUUAAAUCCGAUGCCUCGUGUAAAGACAGUGCCACGCUCUUUGCACCUUAAGAACCCUUGCAACAACUCUGAGGGGUCCGUAGGUGGCCUGUUGCAAGGCAGAAUUUAUGUCCCUAUCCAAUAUACCCUCAUUUUCCAGUGGCAGUCCAAAUUUCCCCGACCAUCAUCCUAGAUGGCCCCUAUUACAACAACCUACCUAUUGUAUUUAUUGUGAACUU